This 371-nucleotide long non-coding RNA is filed under the name Amborella trichopoda. RNAcentral's name for it is "long non-coding RNA (ATRI_LNC001513)". Lineage: Eukaryota; Viridiplantae; Streptophyta; Magnoliopsida; Amborellales; Amborellaceae. The record is from RNAcentral.
UUCUUAUCAUUAAAAGAAAAAAAAAUUAUAUAACAGUUAACCCAAAGUUAAACAUGCCUUUCUAGUUAAGAACUCCAAUAUCACCAGAUGCACCUUGAAAUUCUUCCUAUAAACAAGAAAUAACUACUAAUUGAAGGGGAAAUACAGAUGGAUCACGUAGAAAUUCAAGAAUUCUUACUCUAUAAGAAAGAAAGUAAUCACAAAAUGAAGGGAAAUAACACAUGGGUCGCUUAGAAAUCCAUUGAAUUAUUUCUAAACAAAGGAAAAUAACAGCUAAAUUAAGGAAAAUUACAGAUCAGUCACUUCGAAAUUCAAAAAGUUUAAAAGUUCUUUCAUACAAAGGAGAAUAAUCACUAAACAAUGGAAGUUAC